Molecule: unclassified non-coding RNA, 205 nt
Filed under: soil metagenome
Description: partial contains 5.8S ribosomal RNA, internal transcribed spacer 2, and large subunit ribosomal RNA
Source: RNAcentral
AACACUGUUAACCUGCGGUACCUGCGGAAGGAUCAUUACCGAGUUUACAACUCCCAAACCCCUGUGAACAUACCAAUUGUUGCCUCGGCGGAUCAGCCCGCUCCCGGUAAAACGGGACGGCCCGCCAGAGGACCCCUAAACUCUGUUUCUAUAUGUAACUUCUGAGUAAAACCAUAAAUAAAUCAAAACUUUUAGCAACGGAUCU